AGCGAACGUUUGCGGCGGGCCUAACACAUGCAAGUCGAACGGGCAGGGGCAACCCUGUCAGUGGCGCACGGGUGCGUAACACGUGGGUAAUCAACCCUUUGGACUGGGACAACCCGGGGAAACUCGGGCUAAUACCGGAUGUGGCGUGGCGGUCCUCGGACUGCUCCGCGAAAGCUCCGCAAGGGGCACCAGAGGACGAGCCCGCGUCCCAUCAGCUAGUUGGUGAGGUAAUGGCUCACCAAGGCGAAGACGGGUAGCUGGUCUGAGAGGAUGAUCAGCCACACUGGAACUGAGACACGGUCCAGACUCCUACGGGAGGCAGCAGUGGGGAAUAUUGCGCAAUGGGCGAAAGCCUGACGCAGCCACGCCGCGUGUGCGAUGAAGGUCUUCGGAUCGUAAAGCACUGUGGGGGGAGAAGAACAAGCCGGUGAAGAGCCGGCCCUGACGGUAUCCCCUUAGCAAGCACCGGCUAACUCCGUGCCAGCAGCCGCGGU
Molecule: ribosomal RNA, 494 nt
Filed under: uncultured bacterium
Lineage: Bacteria
Description: bacterial SSU rRNA
Rfam family: Bacterial small subunit ribosomal RNA
Source: RNAcentral